CCUACGGGGAGCAGCAGUGAGGAAUAUUGGUCAAUGGACGAGAGUCUGAACCAGCCAAGUAGCGUGAAGGAUGACUGCCCUAUGGGUUGUAAACUUCUUUUAUCAAGGAAUAAAACGAGGCACGUGUGCCUUUUUGCAUGUACUUUAUGAAUAAGGAUCGGCUAACUCCGUGCCAGCAGCCGCGGUAAUACGGAGGAUCCGAGCGUUAUCCGGAUUUAUUGGGUUUAAAGGGAGCGUAGAUGGGUUGUUAAGUCAGUUGUGAAAGUUUGCGGCUCAACCGUAAAAUUGCAAUUGAUACUGGCAGUCUUGAGUACAGUUGAGGUAAGCGGAAUUCGUGGUGUAGCGGUGAAAUGCUUAGAUAUCACGAAGAACCCCGAUUGCGAAGGCAGCUUACUAGACUGUGACUGACAUUGAUGCUCGAAAGUGUGGGUAUCGAACAGGAUUAGAUACCCCAGUAGUC
This 460-nucleotide ribosomal RNA is filed under the name uncultured bacterium. RNAcentral's name for it is "partial 16S ribosomal RNA". It matches the Rfam family "Bacterial small subunit ribosomal RNA", at positions 338 to 795 of the family's 1533-position model. The record is from RNAcentral.